UACGGAGGAUGCGAGCGUUAUCCGGAUUUAUUGGGUUUAAAGGGUGCGUAGGCGGGCCGGUAAGUCAGCGGUGAAAUCCCAUGGCUCAACCAUGGAAUUGCCGUUGAAACUGUCGGUCUUGAAUAUGGUCAAGGUAGGCGGAAUGCGUAAUGUAGCGGUGAAAUGCUUAGAUAUCACGAGGAACUCCGAUUGCGCAGGCAGCUUACUAAACUACUACUGACGCUCAGGCACGAAGGCGUGGGGAUCAAACAGGAUUAGAUACCCU
RNAcentral lists this ribosomal RNA (265 nucleotides) under uncultured prokaryote. RNAcentral's name for it is "partial 16S ribosomal RNA". It matches the Rfam family "Bacterial small subunit ribosomal RNA", at positions 524 to 788 of the family's 1533-position model. The record is from RNAcentral.